AGAACAAGUGUGUACCACCACCUCCACCGAUGGGGACAUAUGGAUAUCAGGGGAACACUGGCAGUGUCCCCAAAGGAGUGAAUCCUUACUCUAUGAAAGCAGCAGUUCUAUGGGGCAGCAGAUACCCUACAAUGCAUUACAAUGAUGGGACCAACUCAAAGCCUCCAAGCCAUGGGCCUAGACUGCUUCCUAGACAGCGCUCUGGCUUGCUCCCUCCUUCACACUUUGACCUCAUGGCACCAAUGGUUGUGCCACCUGACACUCUACCCUACUGAGGCCAUUUGCCCAGAGUGGAUUUGCCAUACAUAGAUUUUUUCAG
Molecule: long non-coding RNA, 319 nt
Organism: Salvelinus namaycush (lake trout)
Lineage: Eukaryota; Metazoa; Chordata; Actinopteri; Salmoniformes; Salmonidae
Exons: 3
Source: RefSeq, a predicted model, not a curated record